This 541-nucleotide ribosomal RNA is filed under the name uncultured bacterium. RNAcentral's name for it is "bacterial SSU rRNA". It matches the Rfam family "Bacterial small subunit ribosomal RNA", at positions 356 to 896 of the family's 1533-position model. The record is from RNAcentral.
GAGGAAUAUUGGUCAAUGGGCGAGAGCCUGAACCAGCCAAGUAGCGUGCGGGAUGAAGGCCCUUGUGGUCGUAAACCGCUUUUAUCAGUGAAUAAAGUGCACCACGUGUGGUGUCAUUGCAGGUAGCUGAAGAAAAAGGACCGGCUAAUUCCGUGCCAGCAGCCGCGGUAAUACGGAAGGUCCGGGCGUUAUCCGGAAUUAUUGGGUUUAAAGGGAGCGCAGGCGGGAGUAUAAGUCAGCUGUUAAAUAUCAGGGCCCAACUCUGUUAUGCAGUUGAAACUAUAUUUCUUGAGUACGCACAGGGAUGGCGGAAUUCAGGGUGUAGCGGUGAAAUGCUUAGAUAUCCUGAAGAACUCCGAUCGCGAAGGCAGCCAUCCGGAGCGUAACUGACGCUGAGGCUCGAAGGUGCGGGUAUCAAACAGGAUUAGAUACCCUGGUAGUCCGCACGGUAAACGAUGAAUACUCGCAGUUCGGUCUUUAUGGUCGAGUUGUCCAGCGAAAGCGUUAAGUAUUCCACCUGGGGAGUACGCCGGCAACGGUG